RNAcentral lists this ribosomal RNA (214 nucleotides) under Staphylococcus aureus. Its description in RNAcentral is "partial 23S ribosomal RNA". It matches the Rfam family "Bacterial large subunit ribosomal RNA", at positions 814 to 1026 of the family's 2925-position model. The record is from RNAcentral. Lineage: Bacteria; Bacillati; Bacillota; Bacilli; Caryophanales; Staphylococcaceae.
GGUAGCGGAGAAAUUCCAAUCGAACCUGGAGAUAGCUGGUUCUCUCCGAAAUAGCUUUAGGGCUAGCCUCAAGUGAUGAUUAUUGGAGGUAGAGCACUGUUUGGACGAGGGGCCCCUCUCGGGUUACCGAAUUCAGACAAACUCCGAAUGCCAAUUAAUUUAACUUGGGAGUCAGAACAUGGGUGAUAAGGGCCGUGUUCGAAAGGGAAACAGC